RNAcentral lists this small nuclear RNA (161 nucleotides) under Pollicipes pollicipes. RNAcentral's name for it is "U1 spliceosomal RNA". It matches the Rfam family "U1 spliceosomal RNA". Rfam says of the family: U1 is a small nuclear RNA (snRNA) component of the spliceosome (involved in pre-mRNA splicing). The record is from RNAcentral. Lineage: Eukaryota; Metazoa; Arthropoda; Thecostraca; Pollicipedomorpha; Pollicipedidae.
AUACUUGCCUGGCACAGGGGAUAGCGUGAUCACGAAGAUGGCCCCGUCAGGGCGAGGCCCUUCCAUUGCACAUUGGUCGGGUUGGUCCCAGCGUUUGCCCCAAAUGUGGAUAAAUCGGUGGUAUAAUUGCUAGCGGGGUAGGUUGUGUUCGCGGUUCUGCC